UCCUACGGGACGCAGCAGUAGGGAAUCUUCCACAAUGGACGAAAGUCUGAUGGAGCAACGCCGCGUGAGUGAAGAAGGGUUUCUGCUCGUAAAGCUCUGUUGGUAGUGAAGAAAGAUAGAGGUAGUAACUGGCCUUUAUUUGACGGUAAUUACUUAGAAAGUCACGGCUAACUACGUGCCAGCAGCCGCGGUAAUACGGAGGUGGCAAGCGUUGUCCGGAUUUAUUGGGCGUAAAGCGAGUGCAGGCGGUUCUAUAAAGCUGUUGU
RNAcentral lists this ribosomal RNA (266 nucleotides) under uncultured bacterium. Its description in RNAcentral is "partial 16S ribosomal RNA". It matches the Rfam family "Bacterial small subunit ribosomal RNA", at positions 337 to 595 of the family's 1533-position model. The record is from RNAcentral.